GACGAACGCUGGCGGCGUGCCUAAUACAUGCAAGUUGAGCACUGAAGGUUGGUACUUGUACCAACUGGAUGAGCAGCGAACGGGUGAGUAACGCGUGGGGAAUCUGCCUUUGAGCGGGGGACAACAUUUGGAAACGAAUGCUAAUACCGCAUAAAAACUUUAAACACAAGUUUUAAGUUUGAAAGAUGCAAUUGCAUCACUCAAAGAUGAUCCCGCGUUGUAUUAGCUAGUUGGUGAGGUAAAGGCUCACCAAGGCGAUGAUACAUAGCCGACCUGAGAGGGUGAUCUGCCACAUUGGGACUGAGACACGGCCCAAACUCCUACGGGAGGCAGCAGUAGGGAAUCUUCGGCAAUGGACGAAAGUCUGACCGAGCAACGCCGCGUGAGUGAAGAAGGGUUUCGGAUCGUAAAACUCUGUUGGUAGAGAAGAACGUUGGUGAGAGUGGAAAGCUCAUCAAGUGACGGUAACUACCCAGAAAGGGACGGCUAACUACGUG
Molecule: ribosomal RNA, 497 nt
Filed under: uncultured bacterium
Lineage: Bacteria
Description: partial 16S ribosomal RNA
Rfam family: Bacterial small subunit ribosomal RNA
Source: RNAcentral